GCAGGCGCGUCAGGUGCCAGCUUCCUGCGGCUCCGUGCCUGGGCCGUCGCGAUGCACGUGUCGCGUUUCCUCGCGAUCCUGGCGCUUCCCACGCGGGGCGGGUAAAGGCGGUCUCUGCUGGAGGCUCGCGCCCACCUUUCCCAGGUGGAAGGGUCGCCCCUGGGGCCGAGGCCUGCCGUCCUGACCUUCGGUUGGAAGUGAGGCCGACGGCAAAAGGAAGCACCGGGGGAAGCGCCCCCGAGGACCAGGAAACACACACCGGACGCCGGAGCGCACCCGAGUGCCCGGCCCGCGGGACACGCUGCCGCCCGCCGUCCAGUCGCCGCUUCUCACUCGCGUUCAUGCGUGUCCGCCCCGAGCCGAGCUCUGACUGCGACCGCGCGGUGGACGGACGGCAGGCGGGACCCCCGGGACCGCACGUGGGUGGAGCCCCGGGUGGGGCAGGAGACCCUGUAGGAGGACCCCGGGCCGCAGGCCCCUGAGGAGCGAUGACGGAAUAUAAGCUGGUGGUGGUGGGCGCCGGCGGUGUGGGCAAGAGUGCGCUGACCAUCCAGCUGAUCCAGAACCAUUUUGUGGACGAAUACGACCCCACUAUAGAGGAUUCCUACCGGAAGCAGGUGGUCAUUGAUGGGGAGACGUGCCUGUUGGACAUCCUGGAUACCGCCGGCCAGGAGGAGUACAGCGCCAUGCGGGACCAGUACAUGCGCACCGGGGAGGGCUUCCUGUGUGUGUUUGCCAUCAACAACACC
Molecule: long non-coding RNA, 749 nt
Filed under: Homo sapiens (human)
Lineage: Eukaryota; Metazoa; Chordata; Mammalia; Primates; Hominidae
Description: HRas proto-oncogene, GTPase (ENSG00000276536.4)
Source: RNAcentral